RNAcentral lists this ribosomal RNA (503 nucleotides) under Bacillus sp. F5-71. RNAcentral describes it as "bacterial SSU rRNA". It matches the Rfam family "Bacterial small subunit ribosomal RNA", at positions 11 to 497 of the family's 1533-position model. The record is from RNAcentral. Lineage: Bacteria; Bacillati; Bacillota; Bacilli; Caryophanales; Bacillaceae.
GUUUGAUCCUGGCUCAGGACGAACGCUGGCGGCGUGCCUAAUACAUGCAAGUCGAGCGGACGGAUGGGAGCUUGCUCCCUGAAGUCAGCGGCGGACGGGUGAGUAACACGUGGGCAACCUGCCUGUAAGACUGGGAUAACUUCGGGAAACCGGAGCUAAUACCGGAUAAUUCUUUCCCUCACAUGAGGGAAAGCUGAAAGAUGGUUUCGGCUAUCACUUACAGAUGGGCCCGCGGCGCAUUAGCUAGUUGGUGAGGUAACGGCUCACCAAGGCAACGAUGCGUAGCCGACCUGAGAGGGUGAUCGGCCACACUGGGACUGAGACACGGCCCAGACUCCUACGGGAGGCAGCAGUAGGGAAUCUUCCGCAAUGGACGAAAGUCUGACGGAGCAACGCCGCGUGAGUGAUGAAGGUUUUCGGAUCGUAAAACUCUGUUGUUAGGGAAGAACAAGUACCGGAGUAACUGCCGGUACCUUGACGGUACCUAACCAGAAAGCCACGGC